AUGGCGGCUGGAGGCGAGGCGCUGACGCCUCGCGAGUCGGCGAUGGAAGAGAUGGAUCCGCAGCCCGGCGUUUUUUCCGAAGCAGAGAUCCUGAGGAUGGAGAUUGCGUCCCUGGUGAGCUUGCUCAGGGAGAAGCAGUCUGACGUUCUUUCGCUGGAUCCUGAGACCGUGAGGAAACUCACGUCCCUGACGAGCGAGAUGGCGUGCCAGAAGUCGGCAAGGGAGCGGCAAGCCUUGGUGGUUCCGGAGGUCAAACGCACAGCGCCGCGGAGCAAGAUCUCCAGGAGUAUAUACGAUUGUACCUGCAAUGCUGGUAAACAGAUGGCUGGCCAAUGUGCUGAGGACCAGAGGACCAAGGAGUGUGUGGAGAUGACUCAUCAGGUGGAGCACCAGAGGAGCAAGGAAGAGGCGGAUGAAUCUGUGACAGAUUUGGCAAUGGACCUUUGCAAAUCAAACAUGGAGACGCACCACAUGGCUGCUGAUAGCCAGACGACAGAUGACAAAGAGGAACAUUUUGUGGCAGCAGAUCUGAUAAGUGGUCUUUCCGACCAGAUGACUGUGCGCUGUUAUGAGAACCAGAGUGCUGUGGAGUGCCUGGAGAUGACUGAUCUCACGGUGGGCAAAGGCCAAUCAAGCACGGAGACGCCUGCGUUGAGGAUGAUGGACCAAGGAAAAUCAAGCAGUGAAGGCGAAUCAAGUAACGAAGGCAAAUCAAGCACGGAGACGUGUGCCCUGGCGUCGAGGAUGAUGGACCAAGGCAACUCAAGUAGUGAAGGCCAAUCAAGCACGGAGACGCGUGCGUUUAGGAUGAUGGACCAUGGAAAAUCAAGUAGUGAAGGCCAAUCAAGCACGGAGAUGCAAGUCCAAUCAAGUAACGAAAGCAAAUCAAGCACGGAGACGCAUGCCUCGAGGAUGAUGGACCAAGGCAAAAAAUCAAGCUUUAGGAUGGUGCUGGAUUGCGAUGAGAAUGGUAUGCCCAACUGGUGCAAAUAUUACGAGAUGCUCGAAUGUGAGGAUGUGGAGGAGGAAGAUGAGGAGAUGACUCCGGAGGGUGUAAGGAUGUAUAACAAAUUCCGUAAGGAGCUAUUAGAGAUGGAAGCUGGCUUACGCAAGGACCGGGAACAGGAUCAAAAGGACGCGCUGAGGUGGGAGCGGGAUCAAAUUGACACACCGAGCUGUUACACAAUGGACCCGAUCCCCUUCUCACUUCAGGACGAGGCGGAGGAGACGGAAUUCACAAAAUCAGACACGGAGGAGAUGGAGAUGGCGGACAAGUUGUUUGCUUUAGGGCGUAAAGGCUGGGAAUCUGCAUGGGGAGACGACUGCGGUAACUUCGAAGACAGCACCGUAUUGAGUCCUAUGCACUUUACACAUUGCACGCCGGGACUGAUCCCGUACGCUGCUCGCACUGUGAGCACCUUGCAAAUCUACUCCGUGAAGAUUGUUGGAACAGAUGGAAAGUUGAAGUUGCCACUCCAUGUUUAUGGGAUUGUCGCUGCCCGAGAUGCCGUGGACUACAACCGCAACAUUCUCUUCUCCCGGCGAAGGGAAAACUGCCAAAAACUCACUCCAGAGGAUCAUUUUUUGCGCUUGACUGGCCCGUCCCGUGCAAUUGUGGCUGUGGACGAUGUUGAUUUCGAAGUCCAACUGAAAGUAAAGGGCUCAUCAAGGUCUCGCGACAGAGCAUUGAUGAGUCACUGCUUUACUUACGCCGGUGGUUACCAUGAAGGUUUACACACCACCUUCUCCAGCAACAGCUUUUGCACAGUAGAGUUUAGCUAUGAGCGACUUACAGAAACAGUCCAGGCUACUAUCUUGAGUGCGCGUGUUGUUGAAGGGGCGCCUUGGCCUUUUGAAUAUGGCGGGCGGAUUAUGUGCUCCUCGCCACCACGGAAAGUUACGGACUCCCUAUCCAGGCAAGUUGUGUUGGUUGAUUCUCGUCAUUCUGAUGGUGGCGGAGAAAUGCCAAUGGGCUUGGAUGGUUUCCUUGAUCUGUCAAGGCAUGUUGUUUCUGUAGAACUUGAAGAAAGCCUGCAGAUUGUCGUACAAGCAUACUCACAGUCUGGUGAUGCUAUUGCUAGACAAGGCAGUGUCAGGUUCAGGACCAAAUACUGCAACAUAAGUCGAGCGAUAUGUGAGAUUGGUGACUCUAAGGUGGAGAUAACUGUCGCUUGGUCCCAACUUGCUAAGCACAAGAGAGAUAUCCUCUUAGAAGGACAUGUUUGA
This 2226-nucleotide ribosomal RNA is filed under the name Triticum aestivum (bread wheat). RNAcentral's name for it is "partial small subunit ribosomal RNA". The record is from RNAcentral. Lineage: Eukaryota; Viridiplantae; Streptophyta; Magnoliopsida; Poales; Poaceae.